AGCCACUGCAUGGAUGGUGUGUUCGUUUGUUGACACUGGCAAUUAUACAUAUUUAGUGGGUUACUAGUGUUGGGCCAGCAUUAUGUAGCGGGUUUUCAUUUGUACAACUGUGAUUUUGGUAAACAUUGUUUUAGCCUUCAUCUGACGCAUCAACAACGACAGCGGCGGCGCUAUCUGAAUGGUCCACCAUCGGCCGAUUGACAGGAUCUACACUCUCAAGUCCCCUCAACGGAUGUUGACGCGCUUCUCUUCUCUAUUGAUCUUAACUUUUUCGGCACA
Molecule: long non-coding RNA, 279 nt
Filed under: Elaeis guineensis (African oil palm)
Lineage: Eukaryota; Viridiplantae; Streptophyta; Magnoliopsida; Arecales; Arecaceae
Description: long non-coding RNA (EGUI_LNC028313)
Source: RNAcentral